This 253-nucleotide ribosomal RNA is filed under the name uncultured bacterium. Its description in RNAcentral is "partial 16S ribosomal RNA". It matches the Rfam family "Bacterial small subunit ribosomal RNA", at positions 524 to 776 of the family's 1533-position model. The record is from RNAcentral.
UACAGAGGAUGCAAGCGUUAAUCGGAAUUACUGGGCGUAAAGCGUGCGUAGGUGGUUUGUUAAGUCAGGCGUGAAAUCCUGGGGCUCAACCUCAGAAUUGCUCUUGAUACUGACAGACUCGAGUGUGGUAGAGGAUAGUGGAAUUCCCGGUGUAGCGGUGAAAUGCGUAGAUAUCGGGAGGAACAUAAGUGGCGAAGGCGGCUAUCUGGACCAACACUGACACUGAGGUACGAAAGCGUGGGUAACAAACAGG